RNAcentral lists this unclassified non-coding RNA (352 nucleotides) under soil metagenome. Its description in RNAcentral is "partial contains 5.8S ribosomal RNA, internal transcribed spacer 2, and large subunit ribosomal RNA". The stretch from base 1 to 120 matches the Rfam family "5.8S ribosomal RNA", at positions 35 to 154 of the family's 154-position model. The record is from RNAcentral.
GAUGAAGAACGCAGCGAAAUGCGAUAAGUAAUGUGAAUUGCAGAAUUCAGUGAAUCAUCGAAUCUUUGAACGCACAUUGCGCCCGCCAGUAUUCUGGCGGGCAUGCCUGUUCGAGCGUCAUUACAACCCUCAGGCCCCCGGGCCUGGCGUUGGGGAUCGGCAGAAGCCCCCUGUGGGCACACGUCGUCCCUCAAAUACAGUGGCGGUCCCGCCGCAGCUUCCAUUGCGUAGUAGCUAACACCUCGCAACUGGAGAGCGGCGCGGCCAUGCCGUAAAACACCCAACUUCUGAAUGUUGACCUCGAAUCAGGUAGGAAUACCCGCUGAACUUAAGCAUAUCAAUAAGCGGAGGA